CGUAGUGGCGCAUGGGUGCGUAACGCGUGGGAAUCUGCCCUUGGGUUCGGGAUAACAGUUGGAAACGACUGCUAAUACCGAAUGAUGUCUUCGGACCAAAGAUUUAUCGCCCAGGGAUGAGCCCGCGUAAGAUUAGCUAGUUGGUGGGGUAAAGGCCUACCAAGGCAACGAUCUUUAGCUGGUCUGAGAGGAUGAUCAGCCACACUGGGACUGAGACACGGCCCAG
RNAcentral lists this ribosomal RNA (226 nucleotides) under uncultured bacterium. RNAcentral describes it as "partial 16S ribosomal RNA". It matches the Rfam family "Bacterial small subunit ribosomal RNA", at positions 91 to 334 of the family's 1533-position model. The record is from RNAcentral.